Molecule: ribosomal RNA, 16 nt
Filed under: Paraeutypella vitis
Lineage: Eukaryota; Fungi; Ascomycota; Sordariomycetes; Xylariales; Diatrypaceae
Also listed under: 3 other names
Description: Eutypella vitis partial 28S ribosomal RNA
Source: RNAcentral
GUUUGACCUCGGAUCA